GGUAGUGUAGCCAAGCGGUAAGGCAUCGGUCUGCAAAACCGUGAUCGCCGGUUCGAUUCCGGUCACUACCUUCA
RNAcentral lists this transfer RNA (74 nucleotides) under Weissella koreensis KACC 15510. Its description in RNAcentral is "tRNA-Cys". It matches the Rfam family "tRNA". Rfam says of the family: Transfer RNA (tRNA) molecules are approximately 80 nucleotides in length. Their secondary structure includes four short double-helical elements and three loops (D, anti-codon, and T loops). Lineage: Bacteria; Bacillati; Bacillota; Bacilli; Lactobacillales; Lactobacillaceae. The record is from RNAcentral.